RNAcentral lists this ribosomal RNA (253 nucleotides) under uncultured bacterium. Its description in RNAcentral is "partial 16S ribosomal RNA". It matches the Rfam family "Bacterial small subunit ribosomal RNA", at positions 524 to 776 of the family's 1533-position model. The record is from RNAcentral.
UACGAAGGGGACUAGCGUUGUUCGGAUUUACUGGGCGUAAAGCGCGCGCAGGCGGCCCGCGAGGUGUCCUGUGAAAGCCCCGUGCUCAACGCGGGAGGGUCAGGGCAAACCGGCGGGCUUGAGGCCGGUAGAGGUGGGUGGAACUCCUGGUGGAGUGGUGAAAUGCGUAGAGAUCAGGAAGAACACCCGUGGCGAAGGCGGCCCACUGGGCCGGACCUGACGCUGAGGCGCGAAGGCGUGGGGAGCGAACGGG